Molecule: ribosomal RNA, 497 nt
Filed under: uncultured bacterium
Lineage: Bacteria
Description: partial 16S ribosomal RNA
Rfam family: Bacterial small subunit ribosomal RNA
Source: RNAcentral
GAUGAACGCUGGCGGCGUGCCUAAUACAUGCAAGUCGAGCGAACGGACGAGAAGCUUGCUUCUCUGAUGUUAGCGGCGGACGGGUGAGUAACACGUGGAUAACCUACCUAUAAGACUGGGAUAACUUCGGGAAACCGGAGCUAAUACCGGAUAAUAUUUUGAACCGCAUGGUUCAAAAGUGAAAGACGGUCUUGCUGUCACUUAUAGAUGGAUCCGCGCUGCAUUAGCUAGUUGGUAAGGUAACGGCUUACCAAGGCAACGAUGCAUAGCCGACCUGCGAGAGUGGUCGGCCACACUGGAACGGAGACACGGACCAGACUCCUACGAGAGGCAGCAGUAGGGAAUCUUCCGCAAUGGGCGAAAGCCUGACGGAGCAACGCCGCGUGAGUGAUGAAGGUCUUCGGAUCGUAAAACUCUGUUAUUAGGGAAGAACAUAUGUGUAAGUAACUGUGCACAUCUUGACGGUACCUAAUCAGAAUGCCACGGCUAACUACGUG